This 509-nucleotide ribosomal RNA is filed under the name uncultured bacterium. RNAcentral describes it as "bacterial SSU rRNA". It matches the Rfam family "Bacterial small subunit ribosomal RNA", at positions 28 to 627 of the family's 1533-position model. The record is from RNAcentral.
GAUGAACGCUGGCGGCGUGCUUAACACAUGCAAGUCGAACGAAGUGGCGGACGGGUGAGUAACGCGUGGGUAACCUGCCUCAUACAGGGGGAUAACAGUUAGAAAUGACUGCUAAUACCGCAUAGUAUGAGAUGGACCCGCGUCUGAUUAGGUAGUUGGUGGGGUAACGGCCUACCAAGCCGACGAUCAGUAGCCGACCUGAGAGGGUGACCGGCCACAUUGGGACUGAGACACGGCCCAAACUCCUACGGGAGGCAGCAGUGGGGAAUAUUGCACAAUGGGGGAAACCCUGAUGCAGCGACGCCGCGUGAGCGAUGAAGUAUUUCGGUAUGUAAAGCUCUAUCAGCAGGGAAGCGGUACCUGACUAAGAAGCACCGGCUAAAUACGUGCCAGCAGCCGCGGUAAUACGUAUGGUGCAAGCGUUAUCCGGAUUUACUGGGUGUAAAGGGAGCGUAGACGGAGUGGCAAGUCUGAUGUGAAAACCCGGGGCUCAACCCCGGGACUGCAUU